This 76-nucleotide transfer RNA is filed under the name Rhizobium laguerreae. RNAcentral's name for it is "tRNA-Arg". It matches the Rfam family "tRNA". Rfam says of the family: Transfer RNA (tRNA) molecules are approximately 80 nucleotides in length. Their secondary structure includes four short double-helical elements and three loops (D, anti-codon, and T loops). Further hydrogen bonds mediate the characteristic L-shaped molecular structure. tRNAs have two regions of fundamental functional importance: the anti-codon, which is responsible for specific mRNA codon recognition, and the 3' end, to which the tRNAs corresponding amino acid is attached (by aminoacyl-tRNA synthetases). tRNAs cope with the degeneracy of the genetic code in two manners: having more than one tRNA (with a specific anti-codon) for a particular amino acid; and 'wobble' base-pairing, i.e. permitting non-standard base-pairing at the 3rd anti-codon position. Lineage: Bacteria; Pseudomonadati; Pseudomonadota; Alphaproteobacteria; Hyphomicrobiales; Rhizobiaceae. The record is from RNAcentral.
GGACCCUUAGCUCAGCCGGAAGAGCAGCCGACUUCUAAUCGGCAGGCCAUUGGUUCAAGUCCAAUAGGGUCCACCA